AUACGGAGGGUGUAAGCGUUACUCGGAAUCACUGGGCGUAAAGCGCGCGCAGGCGGUCUUUUAAGUUGGAUGUGAAAGCCUACGGCUCAACCGUAGAACUGCAUCCAAAACUAUUAGACUAGAGUGUGGGAGAGGAAGAUGGAAUUAGUUGUGUAGGGGUAAAAUCCGUAGAGAUAACUAGGAAUACCAAAAGCGAAGGCAAUCUUCUGGAACACUACUGACGCUGAGGCGCGAAAGCGUGGGGAGCAAACAGGAUUAGAAACCCCAGUAGUCC
RNAcentral lists this ribosomal RNA (274 nucleotides) under uncultured bacterium. RNAcentral's name for it is "partial 16S ribosomal RNA". It matches the Rfam family "Bacterial small subunit ribosomal RNA", at positions 523 to 796 of the family's 1533-position model. The record is from RNAcentral.